AGUGAACGCUGGCGGUAGGCCUAACACAUGCAAUUCGAACGGCAGCACAGUAAGAGCUUGCUCUUACGGGUGGCGAGUGGCGGACGGGUGAGGAAUACAUCGGAAUCUACUUUUUCGUGGGGGAUAACGUAGGGAAACUUACGCUAAUACCGCAUACGACCUACGGGUGAAAGCAGGGGAUCUUCGGACCUUGCGCGAUUGAAUGAGCCGAUGUCGGAUUAGCUAGUUGGCGGGGUAAAGGCCCACCAAGGCGACGAUCCGUAGCUGGUCUGAGAGGAUGAUCAGCCACACUGGAACUGAGACACGGUCCAGAAUCAUACGGGAGGCAGCAGUGGGGAAUAUUGGACAAUGGGCGCAAGCCUGAUCCAGCCAUACCGCGUGGGUGAAGAAGGCCUUCGGGUUGUAAAGCCCUUUUGUUGAGAAAGAAAAGCAGCAGGUUAAUACCCCGCUGUUCUGACGGUACACAAAGAAUAAGCACCGGCUAACUUCGUG
RNAcentral lists this ribosomal RNA (492 nucleotides) under uncultured bacterium. RNAcentral describes it as "partial 16S ribosomal RNA". It matches the Rfam family "Bacterial small subunit ribosomal RNA", at positions 29 to 507 of the family's 1533-position model. The record is from RNAcentral.